Molecule: ribosomal RNA, 459 nt
Filed under: uncultured bacterium
Lineage: Bacteria
Description: partial 16S ribosomal RNA
Rfam family: Bacterial small subunit ribosomal RNA
Source: RNAcentral
CCUACGUGGGACAGCAGUGAGGAAUAUUGGUCAAUGGUCGGGAGACUGAACCAGCCAAGCCGCGUGAGGGAGGAAGGUACAGAGUAUCGUAAACCUCUUUUGUCAGGGAACAAAGGCGGGGACGUGUCCCCGGAUGAGUGUACCUGAAGAAAAAGCAUCGGCUAACUCCGUGCCAGCAGCCGCGGUAAUACGGAGGAUGCGAGCGUUAUCCGGAUUUCUUGGGUUUAAAGGGUGCGCAGGCGGUCUGUUAAGUCAGCGGUCAAAGCCCGGGGCUCAACCCCGGCCCGCCGUUGAAACUGGCAGUCUCGAGUGGGAGAGAAGUAUGCGGAAUGCGCGGUGUAGCGGUGAAAUGCAUAGAUAUCGCGCAGAACUCCGAUUGCGAAGGCAGCAUGCCGGCUCCACACUGACGCUGAGGCACGAAAGCGUGGGUAUCGAACAGGAUUAGAUACCCAAGUAGUC